This is a non-coding RNA of Schizosaccharomyces pombe (fission yeast), 202 nucleotides long. The record is from the annotation of a GenBank genome assembly. Lineage: Eukaryota; Fungi; Ascomycota; Schizosaccharomycetes; Schizosaccharomycetales; Schizosaccharomycetaceae.
AGUAAAACGUAAAUAAAAGCUUAUGAAUUCUGAUACAGUAGCGAAUUCACAUCAGAAACAGUGUCUCGCCCCAACUAGUGGUAUGAAAGGUUCAUGAAAAUUUUGGGUAUGGGAGAUUUGUUACGAACUUUAAGGCGGCAUUAUUGGCGGAAAGAGGAUCAAGGUGGCAGGCAGCCUUUUGCCGGAUAGCAAUUGAAUAUUC